AGUGAACGCUGGCGGCGUGCCUAAUACAUGCAAGUCGAACGGAGUGGCGCACGGGUGAGUAAUGUAUAGCUAAUCUGCCCUACACUAGAGGACAACAGUUGGUAACGACUGCUAAUACUCUAUAGUGUAGGAUGAGGCUAUAUUGUAUCAGCUAGUUGGUGAGGUAAUGGCUCACCAAGGCUAUGACGCAUAACUGGUCAGAGAGGAUGAUCAGUAACACUGGAACGGAGGCACGAUCCAGGCUCCUACGGGAGGGAGCAGUAGGGAAUAGUGCACAAUGGGGGAGGCCCUGAAGCACCAACGGCGCGUAGAGGAUGACAAUUUUCGGAGCGUAAACUCCUUUUGUUAGGGAAGCGGUACCUAACGAAUAAGCACCGGCUAACUCCGUGCCAGCAGCCGCGGUAAUAC
This 408-nucleotide ribosomal RNA is filed under the name uncultured bacterium. Its description in RNAcentral is "partial 16S ribosomal RNA". It matches the Rfam family "Bacterial small subunit ribosomal RNA", at positions 29 to 526 of the family's 1533-position model. The record is from RNAcentral.